CACGUAGGGCGCGAGCGUUGUCCGGAAUUAUUGGGCGUAAAGAGCUCGUAGGCGGUUUGUCGCGUCUGCCGUGAAAGUCCGGGGCUCAACUCCGGAUCUGCGGUGGGUACGGGCAGACUAGAGUGUGGUAGGGGAGACUGGAAUUCCUGGUGUAGCGGUGAAAUGCGCAGAUAUCAGGAGGAACACCGAUGGCGAAGGCAGGUCUCUGGGCCACUACUGACGCUGAGAAGCGAAAGCAUGGGGAGCGAACAGG
This 253-nucleotide ribosomal RNA is filed under the name uncultured bacterium. Its description in RNAcentral is "partial 16S ribosomal RNA". It matches the Rfam family "Bacterial small subunit ribosomal RNA", at positions 524 to 776 of the family's 1533-position model. The record is from RNAcentral.